This is an RNA transcript of Danio aesculapii, 682 nucleotides long. It is a transcript of the gene named ribonuclease inhibitor-like, with no coding region annotated. The record is from RefSeq and is a predicted model, not a curated record. Lineage: Eukaryota; Metazoa; Chordata; Actinopteri; Cypriniformes; Danionidae. The transcript is spliced from 4 exons.
UAGUGAAGUUAAACCAGUCACUACAUUCAUACAUGCUUCAGACUAUUAAACACUCCAGAUCAACACAUACAUAUUGUGUUUGUUCUCUACACAGGCUACAGUGCUGUAAACUCACUGUUCGGUCCUGUGAGAGUUUGUCUUCAGCUCUACAAUCCUCAAACUGUGUCCUGAGAGAGCUGGACCUGAGUAACAAUGACCUGCAGGAUUCAGGAGUGAAGCUUCUCUCUGAUGGACUGAAGAGUCAACACUGUAAACUGGAGACACUGAGAUUGGUCAUGUGUAAUCUCACUGUUCAGUACUGUGAGAGUUUGUCUUCAGUUCUUCAAUCCUCAAACUGUGUCCUAAGAGAGCUGGACCUGAGUAACAAUGACCUGCAGGAUUCAGGAGUGAAGCUUCUCUCUGAUGGACUGAAGAGUCAACACUGUAAACUGGAGACACUGUGAUUGUCUGGCUGUAUGGUGACAGAGGAAGGCUGUGGUUUUCUGUCUUCAGCUCUGACUUCAAACCCCUCACACCUGAGAGAGCUGGAUCUGAGCUACAAUCAUCCAGGAGAUUCAGGAGUCAAGCUGCUCUCUGAACAACUGGAGGAUCCAAACUACACACUGGACAAACUCAAUCUGGAUCAUGGAGGAGACGCGAGGAUUACAGCAGGACUGCACAAAUGUAGGACUACACAUACACA